This 88-nucleotide transfer RNA is filed under the name Aspergillus niger. RNAcentral describes it as "tRNA-Pro for anticodon AGG". Lineage: Eukaryota; Fungi; Ascomycota; Eurotiomycetes; Eurotiales; Aspergillaceae. The record is from RNAcentral. RNAcentral also lists the same sequence under 4 other names.
GCCCGGGUGGUCUAGUGGUAUGAUUCUCGCUUAGGGAAAACCUAAGCAUAAAUGCGAGAGGUCCCGCGUUCGAUCCGCGGCUCGGGCC